CCUACGGGAGGCAGCAGUGGGGGAUAUUGCACAAUGGGGGAAACCCUGAUGCAGCGACGCCGCGUGUGGGAAGACGGUCCUCUGGAUUGUAAACCACUGUCCCCAGGGACGAAGAUGACGGUACCUGACUAAGAAGCCCCGGCUAACUACGUGCCAGCAGCCGCGGUAAUACGUAGGGGGCAAGCGUUAUCCGGAUUUACUGGGUGUAAAGGGAGCGUAGGCGGUGCAGCAAGUCAGAAGUGAAAGCCCGGGGCUCAACUCCGGGACUGCUUUUGAAACUGUUGAACUAGAUUGCAGGAGAGGUAAGUGGAAUUCCUAGUGUAGCGGUGAAAUGCGUAGAUAUUAGGAGGAACACCAGUGGCGAAGGCGGCUUACUGGACUGUAAAUGACGCUGAGGCUCGAAAGCGUGGGGAGCAAACAGGAUUAGAUACCCUUGUAGUC
RNAcentral lists this ribosomal RNA (441 nucleotides) under uncultured bacterium. Its description in RNAcentral is "partial 16S ribosomal RNA". It matches the Rfam family "Bacterial small subunit ribosomal RNA", at positions 338 to 795 of the family's 1533-position model. The record is from RNAcentral.